Molecule: ribosomal RNA, 103 nt
Filed under: uncultured bacterium
Lineage: Bacteria
Description: partial 16S ribosomal RNA
Rfam family: Bacterial small subunit ribosomal RNA
Source: RNAcentral
CCUUGUACACACCGCCCGUCAAGUCAUGGGAGUUGGGAGUACCCGAAGUCCGCUUAGCUAACGAAAGAGGCGGCGGCCGACGGUAAGCCCGAUGACUGGGACU